AGCUACAGGCUUAACACAUGCAAGUCGAGGGGCAGCAUGGUCUUAGCUUGCUAAGGCCGAUGGCGACCGGCGCACGGGUGAGUAACACGUAUCCAACCUGCCGUCUACUCUUGGACAGCCUUCUGAAAGGAAGAUUAAUACAAGAUGGCAUCAUGAGUCCGCAUGUUCACAUGAUUAAAGGUAUUCCGGUAGACGAUGGGGAUGCGUUCCAUUAGAUAGUAGGCGGGGUAACGGCCCACCUAGUCUUCGAUGGAUAGGGGUUCUGAGAGGAAGGUCCCCCACAUUGGAACUGAGACACGGUCCAAACUCCUACGGGAGGCAGCAGUGAGGAAUAUUGGUCAAUGGGCGAGAGCCUGAACCAGCCAAGUAGCGUGAAGGAUGACUGCCCUAUGGGUUGUAAACUUCUUUUAUAAAGGAAUAAAGUCGGGUAUGGAUACCCGUUUGCAUGUACUUUAUGAAUAAGGAUCGGCUAACUCCGUGCCAGCAGCCGCGGUAAUACGGAGGAUCCGAGCGUUAUCCGGGUUUAUUGGGUUUAAAGGGAGCGUAGAUGGAUGUUUAAGUCAGUUGUGAAAGUUUGCGGCUCAACCGUAAAAUUGCAGUUGAUACUGGAUAUCUUGAGUGCAGUUGAGGCAGGCGGAAUUCGUGGUGUAGCGGUGAAAUGCUUAGAUAUCACGAAGAACUCCGAUUGCGAAGGCAGCCUGCUAAGCUGCAACUGACAUUGAGGCUCGAAAGUGUGGGUAUCAAACAGGAUUAGAUACCCUGGUAGUCCACACGGUAAACGAUGAAUACUCGCUGUUUGCGAUAUACUGCAAGCGGCCAAGCGAAAGCGUUAAGUAUUCCACCUGGGGAGUACGCCGGCAACGGUGAAACUCAAAGGAAUUGACGGGGGCCCGCACAAGCGGAGGAACAUGUGGUUUAAUUCGAUGAUACGCGAGGAACCUUACCCGGGCUUAAAUUGCAGAUGAAUUACGGUGAAAGCCGUAAGCCGCAAGGCAUCUGUGAAGGUGCUGCAUGGUUGUCGUCAGCUCGUGCCGUGAGGUGUCGGCUUAAGUGUCAUAACGAGCGCAACCCUUGUUGUCAGUUACUAACAGGUUCCGCUGAGGACUCUGACAAGACUGCCAUCGUAAGAUGUGAGGAAGGUGGGGAUGACGUCAAAUCAGCACGGCCCUUACGUCCGGGGCUACACACGUGUUACAAUGGGGGGUACAGAGGGCCGCUACCACGCGAGUGGAUGCCAAUCCCCAAAACCUCUCUCAGUUCGGACUGGAGUCUGCAACCCGACUCCACGAAGCUGGAUUCGCUAGUAAUCGCGCAUCAGCCACGGCGCGGUGAAUACGUUCCCGGGCCUUGUACACACCGCCCGUCAAGCCAUGGGAGCCGGGGGUACCUGAAGUGCGUAACCGCGAGGAGCGCCCUAGGGUAAAACUGGUGACUGGGGCUAAGUCGU
This 1447-nucleotide ribosomal RNA is filed under the name uncultured organism. RNAcentral's name for it is "SSU rRNA". It matches the Rfam family "Bacterial small subunit ribosomal RNA". The record is from RNAcentral.